This 256-nucleotide unclassified non-coding RNA is filed under the name Allomyces arbusculus. RNAcentral's name for it is "partial internal transcribed spacer region". The stretch from base 1 to 46 matches the Rfam family "Eukaryotic small subunit ribosomal RNA", at positions 1786 to 1831 of the family's 1831-position model. Lineage: Eukaryota; Fungi; Blastocladiomycota; Blastocladiomycetes; Blastocladiales; Blastocladiaceae. The record is from RNAcentral.
AAGUCGUAACAAGGUUUCCGUAGGUGAACCUGCGGAAGGAUCAUUAUUAAAUUCUUCUAGUUAAGCGGCUGCGCGUUAAACCGCGCGGCUGUUUUUCUUGUGAACUGGGGCCUGCUAGUUCAAGUUUUACACUUUUUCUAGCGGCCUGUCGUUAAUGCUCUUGUGUUAAUUUUUUUUUGUUUUUGCUUUUUUUAAGCUUAACCGCUUAAGAAAAAUAAUUACAAGACAACUUUCAGCAAUGGAUCUCUUGGCUCUU